RNAcentral lists this ribosomal RNA (275 nucleotides) under uncultured bacterium. RNAcentral's name for it is "partial 16S ribosomal RNA". It matches the Rfam family "Bacterial small subunit ribosomal RNA", at positions 338 to 618 of the family's 1533-position model. The record is from RNAcentral.
CCUACGGGGGGCUGCAGUUAGGAAUCUUCCCCAAUGGGCGCAAGCCUGAGGGAGCGACGCCGCGUGCGGGAUGAAGGUUUUCGGAUCGUAAACCGCUGAAACAAGGACGAAAUCCCUGUAAAGGGUCUGACGGUACUUGUGUAAUAGCACCGGCUAACUCCGUGCCAGCAGCCGCGGUAAUACGGAGGGUGCAAGCGUUACCCGGAAUCACUGGGCGUAAAGGGCAUGUAGGCGGUGGCUUAAGUCCGAAUUUAAAGACCGAAGCUCAACUUCGG